Molecule: ribosomal RNA, 464 nt
Filed under: uncultured bacterium
Lineage: Bacteria
Description: bacterial SSU rRNA
Rfam family: Bacterial small subunit ribosomal RNA
Source: RNAcentral
CCAGACUCCUACGGGAGGCAGCAGUGAGGAAUAUUGGUCAAUGGGAGAGAUCCUGAACCAGCCAAGCCGCGUGAGGGAAGACGGCCCUAUGGGUUGUAAACCUCUUUUGUCGGAGAACAAAACCCGGGACGUGUCCCGGACUGCGUGUAUCCGAAGAAAAAGCAUCGGCUAACUCCGUGCCAGCAGCCGCGGUAAUACGGAGGAUGCGAGCGUUAUCCGGAUUUAUUGGGUUUAAAGGGUGCGUAGGCGGUCCGUUAAGUCAGCGGUAAAAUUGCGGGGCUCAACCCCGUCGAGCCGUUGAAACUGCAUCCCUUGAGUGCGCGAGAAGUAUGCGGAAUGCGUGGUGUAGCGGUGAAAUGCAUAGAUAUCACGCAGAACUCCGAUUGCGAAGGCAGCAUACCGGCGCGCAACUGACGCUCAUGCACGAAAGCGUGGGUAUCGAACAGGAUUAGAUACCCCGGUAA